AGUGAACGCUGGCGAUAGGCCUAACACAUGCAAGUCGAACGGCAGCACAGUAAGAGCUUGCUCUUACGGGUGGCGAGUGGCGGACGGGUGAGGAAUACAUCGGAAUCUACUUUUUCGUGGGGGAUAACGUAGGGAAACUUACGCUAAUACCGCAUACGACCUACGGGUGAAAGCAGGGGAUCUUCGGACCUUGCGCGAUUGAAUGAGCCGAUGUCGGAUUAGCUAGUUGGCGGGGUAAAGGCCCACCAAGGCGACGAUCCGUAGCUGGUCUGAGAGGAUGAUCAGCCACACUGGAACUGAGACACGGUCCAGACUCCUACGGGAGGCAGCAGUGGGGAAUAUUGGACAAUGGGCGCAAGCCUGGUCCAGCCAUACCGCGUGGGUGAAGAAGGCCUUCGGGUUGUAAAGCCCUUUUGUUGGGAAAGAAAAGCAGCAGGUUAAUACCCCGCUGUUCUGACGGUACCCAAAGAAUAAGCACCGGCUAACUUCGUG
This 492-nucleotide ribosomal RNA is filed under the name uncultured bacterium. Its description in RNAcentral is "partial 16S ribosomal RNA". It matches the Rfam family "Bacterial small subunit ribosomal RNA", at positions 29 to 507 of the family's 1533-position model. The record is from RNAcentral.